GUUUUACUUCCUCCGUCCAAAAUUACUUGUUGCAGCAACAGAUGUAUCUAGACGUAUUUUAGUUCUAAAUACAUCCAUUUUUAUCCAUUUUUACGACAAGUAAUUCCGGACGAAGGGAGUACUUU
Molecule: non-coding RNA, 125 nt
Organism: Triticum urartu
Lineage: Eukaryota; Viridiplantae; Streptophyta; Magnoliopsida; Poales; Poaceae
Source: Rfam